CGGUAAAUAUGUUGCAGUUAAAGGACUUAGAGCGUGAAAUGGAAAUGUAGAGUCAGAGUGUCGGUACACAGAUCGUGUGAGACGCCUGCUAAAUUCCCCUCACUGCUACUCGUCCUCUCCCGACUACAAACCUAACACCCAAAAUCCUCAAAAAUCUAUUCGGCGGCCGUACCAACACCCAAAAUCCUCCAAAAUCUAUACGGCGGCCGCACCGCAGGCACACGCGACGAUGCCGCCGAGGCUGGUGCGGGAGCUGGGCGAGAUGGAGGAGCUCGUGGAGGAGACCCUCACCCGCCUCCCGCCGGACGAGCCAGCGGCAGCUGGUGUUGUGGCUGAAGCAUCAAGUGAAGCUCGACACGUCAAUGAGGAAGCAUAACUCUCAAGCAAUGGAAGUUCAUCAGUUUGCUGUUUUGGUGUUGGCUUUGGUUUGAUUUUCAAGUUUGAUGGGUGAUGGGAGUGUAGUGUGAGUUGGAUGGGUGAUGGGAGAGUUGUGUUAUGUCUUGUUAAUUAAGAACCCGUCUCUAAUUUUUAUAGCUGUGCUAUUGA
Molecule: long non-coding RNA, 546 nt
Organism: Aegilops tauschii subsp. strangulata
Lineage: Eukaryota; Viridiplantae; Streptophyta; Magnoliopsida; Poales; Poaceae
Source: RefSeq, a predicted model, not a curated record